RNAcentral lists this long non-coding RNA (273 nucleotides) under Monodelphis domestica (gray short-tailed opossum). RNAcentral's name for it is "lncRNA (ENSMODG00000047871.1)". Lineage: Eukaryota; Metazoa; Chordata; Mammalia; Didelphimorphia; Didelphidae. The record is from RNAcentral.
GGACUGAUUUAUUCUCUCUGUGUUGGUGAGCUGAGCUGAAGGGAGAUUUGUCCUAGAUUCUUCCUUGACUGGAGCUUUCUAUGCAGGAGAGGCUUGCUGGCUGAAAUAUAUGAGACUGAGAUGCUGAAUUUCAUUAUUAAAUAGAAAAGAAAACGUCCCUUCUACAUGAGGAGGAACCUUUUGAACAGGCUUCCAAACAAGUAAACCUUCACAAGAUUUUUCUAAACAUUUAGGUAAGUCAGACAUAUACACAAACAUAUUACUCAGCAAAAU